GUAUAUCACUCAUUUCAAGGUGCGAAAGUUUGAUAACUUUACUCAAAAAGAAAAGAGUAGUACUCAAAGACAUUUAAAACUGACACAUGUGGGUAAGUACGUAACUCAACUUGUGAGGCAAAUGGGUUUCAGCUUAUCCGGUGUCUUAAAUUCAUUUCACGCUCCUUCCGCAAUCUAGAUUAUUACAAGUUGACAACAAAACACCAAACACUCCCUUACUCCUUUCCCCUUCUUCUCAUUUCUUCUUUCUCCUGAAUUAACAAAGCCCUUUUUCUCUUAAAACACUCGCAUAACUAUUCUACUAUCUCUCCAUCGCUUGUCUCUUUAAGCAUGGACCUCACCCUCGUACCAUACCAACACACUUCCCCAUCUCCCCCCCAUCACAAUGAUCAUGAUCAUGAUCACGAUAGCUCUCCCCAUCCCAUCAUAAUCCGCCCUACUCCCGACAACUUCCUCGUCAAAUACAAAGAAUGCAUGCGCAACCACGCUGCUUCCAUCGGCCGCCACGCCAAUGACGGCUGUGGCGAGUUCAUGCCUCGCGGUGAUGAUGGUACCCUCGACUGUCUCACCUGUGCAGCCUGUGGUUGUCACCGUAAUUUCCACAGGAGAGAAGGUGCUUCUUCUCUGCAAUUUGACCACCUCCACCACCAAGUUUUCUCGUACAAUGGGGUUUCUGGGAAGAAACACUUGAUGACUUCUUACUUUGAUGAUGGUGAUGAUAUCGAUGAUCAUGAUCGAAGAUCGGAAACGCCCGAGAAGGAGAAAGCGAACGUGGUGUCCUCCGGUGUAAGGGCGGCGGCCACUGCGGCGGGGGGAGGGAAGAGUAAAAGGUUUAGGACGAAGUUCACUCAGGAGCAGAAGGAUAGGAUGCUAGAUUUCGCGGAGAAGAUAGGGUGGAGGAUACAUAAGCAUGAUGACGUGGCGCUUAAUCACUUCUGUAAUGAGGUUGGUAUUACACGGAACGUUCUUAAGGUUUGGAUGCAUAACAAC
This 990-nucleotide unclassified non-coding RNA is filed under the name Hevea brasiliensis (rubber tree). The record is from RNAcentral. Lineage: Eukaryota; Viridiplantae; Streptophyta; Magnoliopsida; Malpighiales; Euphorbiaceae.